Phalaenopsis equestris is the source of this 415-nucleotide long non-coding RNA. RefSeq lists it as uncharacterized. Lineage: Eukaryota; Viridiplantae; Streptophyta; Magnoliopsida; Asparagales; Orchidaceae. The record is from RefSeq and is a predicted model, not a curated record. The transcript has 2 exons.
CCAAGUGAUCGUUGGAAACGGCCAACACACAUGUAUCACACAUGUUGGUAAGAGCCUUCUACCUACUCCUGAACACAGAUCCAAAAAGCCAGAAAAUAAUUCUAACAAGAGUUGUUGAUCAAGGGUUAUAUCGCAUCACUGUGCUCCAUACUGUCAAAGAUUCCAACCAGUGGCAUCAUCAAUUAGGCCAUCCACAUCAUCAUGUCCUGACUAUGGUUUCCUGUUCUCAAUCACAACUGCAACUACCUUCAGCUAAUGUUAUAUGUCAAGAAUGUUGUCAAAAUAAAAGUCAUAAUCUUCCCUUCCCUCACAGUCAUAGAACUUGUAAACUUUUUGAUAUGAUACAUUCUGACAUAUGGAGACCAUUUCCUCAUCCUUCCUUGGAAGGUUAUAGAUAUUAUGUCACAUUUAUUAA